AAUGGCAUAUGAUGAAUAAUUCAUUUACGCUUAUUGAUAUACUGAUAUUCUGUGCUGACACAAACUCCGCUUAUUAUCUGAUGCCAUU
Cucurbita pepo subsp. pepo (vegetable marrow) is the source of this 88-nucleotide small nucleolar RNA. RefSeq annotates it as small nucleolar RNA R16. NCBI's taxonomy places the organism in Eukaryota, Viridiplantae, Streptophyta, Magnoliopsida, Cucurbitales, Cucurbitaceae. The record is from RefSeq and is a predicted model, not a curated record.